GAUGAAGAACGCAGCGAAAUGCGAUAAGUAAUGUGAAUUGCAGAAUUCAGUGAAUCAUCGAAUCUUUGAACGCACAUUGCGCCCGCCAGUAUUCUGGCGGGCAUGCCUGUUCGAGCGUCAUUUCAACCAUCAAGCCCCCGGCUUGUGUUGGGGACCUGCGGCUGCCGCAGGCCCUGAAAAGCAGUGGCGGGCUCGCUGUCACACCGAGCGUAGUAGAUUUCAUCUCGCUCAGGGCGUGCUGCGGGUUCCGGCCGUUAAACCACCUUCAUAACCCAAGGUUGACCUCGGAUCAGGUAGGAAGACCCGCUGAACUUAAGCAUAUCAAUAAGUGGAGGA
Molecule: unclassified non-coding RNA, 336 nt
Filed under: soil metagenome
Description: partial contains 5.8S ribosomal RNA, internal transcribed spacer 2, and large subunit ribosomal RNA
Rfam family: 5.8S ribosomal RNA (bases 1-120)
Source: RNAcentral